UAUGAGUUAGUGGCGGACGGGUGAGUAACGCGUGGGAACUACUCGACCUNUACGGGGGAUAACACUUAGAAAUAGGUGCUAAUACCGCAUAAUAGGGAAUACCGCAUGGUAAUCCUUUGAAAACUCCGGUGGUACAGGAUGGGCCCGCGUCUGAUUAGCCAGUUGGCGGGGUAACGGCCCACCAAAGCGACGAUCAGCAGCCGGCCUGAGAGGGUGGACGGCCACACUGGGACUGAGACACGGCCCAGACUCCUACGGAAGGCAGCAG
Molecule: ribosomal RNA, 268 nt
Filed under: uncultured bacterium
Lineage: Bacteria
Description: partial 16S ribosomal RNA
Rfam family: Bacterial small subunit ribosomal RNA
Source: RNAcentral